ACGGGUGAGUAACGCGUGGGAAUCUACCCAUCCCUACGGAAUAACGCAUGGAAACGUGUGCUAAUACCGUAUACGCCCUACGGGGGAAAGAUUUAUCGGGGAUGGAUGAGCCCGCGUUGGAUUAGCUAGUUGGUGGGGUAAAGGCCUACCAAGGCGACGAUCCAUAGCUGGUCUGAGAGGAUGAUCAGCCACAUUGGGACUGAGACACGGCCCAAACUCCUACGGGAGGCAGCAGUGGGGAAUAUUGGACAAUGGGCGCAAGCCUGAUCCAGCCAUGCCGCGUGAGUGAUGAAGGCCUUAGGGUUGUAAAGCUCUUUCACCGGAGAAGAUAAUGACGGCAUCCGGAGAAGAAGCCCCGGCUAACUUCGUGCCAGCAGCCGCGGUAAUACGAAGGGGGCUAGCGUUGUUCGGGAUUACUGGGCGUAAAGCGCACGUAGGCGGACUUUUAAGUCAGGGGUGAAAUCCCGGGGCUCAACCUCGGAACUGCCUUUGAUACUGGAAGUCUGGAGUAUGGAAGAGGUGAGUGGAAUUCCGAGU
This 537-nucleotide ribosomal RNA is filed under the name uncultured bacterium. Its description in RNAcentral is "bacterial SSU rRNA". It matches the Rfam family "Bacterial small subunit ribosomal RNA", at positions 102 to 674 of the family's 1533-position model. The record is from RNAcentral.